CACACCACCUCCAGCCCUCUGCAUUCACGUAGCAUUGCUGCGGAGCUGGACGAGCUUGCUGAUGACCGUAUGGCACUGGUGUCAGGCAUCAGCUUAGAUCCAGAAGCAGCGAUUGGUGUGACAAAACGGCCACCUCCUAAGUGGGUGGAUGGAGUGGAUGAAAUUCAGUAUGAUGUUGGCCGGAUUAAGCAGAAGAUGAAAGAAUUGGCCAGCCUUCAUGACAAGCAUUUAAACAGACCCACCCUGGAUGACAGCAGCGAAGAGGAACAUGCCAUUGAGAUAACUACCCAAGAGAUCACUCAGGUGCCAGCGUGCCGUGCAGGCCCUGCCGAGCCGGUCCCGGGCCUGCUCCGAGCAGGAGGGGCGGCUGCUUGGGAACGUGGUGGCCUCGCUGGCGCAGGCCCUGCAGGAACUCUCCACCAGCUUCCGGCACGCACAGUCAGGCUACCUCAAACGCAUGAAGAAUCGAGAGGAAAGAUCCCAGCAUUUUUUCGACACAUCAGUACCACUAAUGGAUGAUGGAGACGAUAACACUCUUUACCAUCGGGGUUUUACAGAGGACCAGUUAGUUCUGGUGGAGCAGAACACACUGAUGGUGGAAGAGCGGGAACGAGAGAUUCGCCAGAUUGUACAGUCCAUUUCUGACCUGAAUGAAAUAUUCAGGGACUUAGGAGCGAUGAUUGUAGAACAG
RNAcentral lists this small RNA (691 nucleotides) under Pan troglodytes (chimpanzee). Its description in RNAcentral is "processed transcript". Lineage: Eukaryota; Metazoa; Chordata; Mammalia; Primates; Hominidae. The record is from RNAcentral.